Cydia fagiglandana is the source of this 887-nucleotide long non-coding RNA. RefSeq lists it as uncharacterized. The record is from RefSeq and is a predicted model, not a curated record. NCBI's taxonomy places the organism in Eukaryota, Metazoa, Arthropoda, Insecta, Lepidoptera, Tortricidae. The transcript has 2 exons.
UUCAUAAAAAAUCCUUAAAUGAGGAAUGAUCAGCUUAUUAGCUAAUCCACUGUUUAGGCUUAAUAAGCCGUUGAUAAGAACCAUGAUUUAUAAACGUUUAUUAGGGGUUUCUUAACUAAUAAGCAGAUUAGACCCGUUAUGUUGGCAUCUUGGCACAUCAUAGACAAAAAUAUGGCUGAACAUUAAUUAAAAAAAAAAGUUUGACAGCAGCACUAGCGGUAAAUCAUAAAAUCCUGAACAAUACGAUGCACAAUUUUGACCAGUUUUCUGGGUUAUUAUAUAUUAAAAUAGCCUCUGCAUCACAAAAACAAAUAAAUAAUAUUGCACGGCCGGAAGUUUUACGAAACUCGGUAAGCAACCACCUAUAUCAUAGUCUGAUAAUCAGAUAUGUUACGAGUAAAGUUCAUUGCAAGAUUUGCAAGCAAUAUUGAUAAAACUAUGUGUUAUUGCUUAUAGUUUCAAUAUAUUGUGGAAUGAGGGAAAGAGGGCAGUUGCACAUCUCAAGUCAAGAAUUCUGCCUGCGCGCCAUCGCCACCGUAAUACCACGGAUUCCAACACAUUUUGUUCUGGUGGCGAAACACAAACGAUAUUGACACUAUUCAUAUCAAAUGAUCGGUGAAGAUAAAUCAGGUUGUGAGUAUUCCAUCAUCAGCUAUUUGUCCGGAGCUGGCUACACAAUCCGGAGGCCACACUCUUCUGGCAUCUAACCGGCCUGCACACCGCCAUCAAAUGAAGUUGGUUGUACUGAAAUAAAGAAAAAAUAUUAACUAGUUUAAUGAUUGUCAAAUGUAAUAAAAUUGUUUUAUUUAAGUGGGUUGUUUGAUUUCCCUAAAUUAACACAUGAAAUAUGUUGAUAUGUUAUAAUAAAAAUCUCAGUUAAAAACUCA